Molecule: ribosomal RNA, 463 nt
Filed under: uncultured bacterium
Lineage: Bacteria
Description: bacterial SSU rRNA
Rfam family: Bacterial small subunit ribosomal RNA
Source: RNAcentral
AGAGUUUGAUCCUGGCUCAGAUUGAACGCUGGCGGCAUGCUUUACACAUGCAAGUCGAACGGCAGCACGGGGGCAACCCUGGUGGCGAGUGGCGAACGGGUGAGUAAUAUAUCGGAACAUGUCCGGAAGUGGGGGAUAACGUAGCGAAAGUUACGCUAAUACCGCAUAUGCCCUGAGGGGGAAAGGGGGGGAUCGCAAGACCUCUCGCUUUCGGAGUGGCCGAUAUCGGAUUAGCUAGAUGGUGGGGUAAAGGCCCACCAAGGCGACGAUCUGUAGCGGGUCUGAGAGGAUGAUCCGCCACACUGGGACUGAGACACGGCCCAGACUCCUACGGGAGGCAGCAGUGGGGAAUUUUGGACAAUGGGCGCAAGCCUGAUCCAGCCAUGCCGCGUGCAGGAAGAAGGCCUUCGGGUUGUAAACUGCUUUCGGACGGAAAGAAAUCGCCGCUUCUAAUACGAGCGGU